This 425-nucleotide ribosomal RNA is filed under the name uncultured bacterium. RNAcentral describes it as "bacterial SSU rRNA". It matches the Rfam family "Bacterial small subunit ribosomal RNA", at positions 355 to 772 of the family's 1533-position model. The record is from RNAcentral.
UGGGGAAUAUUGCGCAAUGGGGGAAACCCUGCCGCAGCAACGCCGCGUGGAGGAUGAAGGCCUUCGGGUCGUAAACUCCUGUCAGGUGGGAAGAAUAGGUUGCAGCGAACAACUGCAACCGUUGACGGUACCACCAGAGGAAGCCCCGGCUAACUCCGUGCCAGCAGCCGCGGUAAUACGGCGGGGGCAAGCGUUAUUCGGAAUCAUUGGGCGUAAAGGGCGCGUAGGCGGCUUGGCAAGUCAAAGGUGAAAUCCCUCGGCCCAACCGAGGAACCGCCUUUGAAACUGCUUGGCUCGAGGCCGGGAGAGGGUAGCGGAAUUCCCAGUGUAGCGGUGAAAUGCGUAGAUAUUGGGAGGAACACCAGUGGCGAAGGCGGCUACCUGGACCGGUUCUGACGCUCAGGCGCGAUAGCGUGGGGAUCAAA